Molecule: ribosomal RNA, 808 nt
Filed under: uncultured bacterium
Lineage: Bacteria
Description: bacterial SSU rRNA
Rfam family: Bacterial small subunit ribosomal RNA
Source: RNAcentral
AGUCGAGGGGUAUGGUUCUUCGGAACCAGAGACCGGCGCACGGGUGCGUAACGCGUAUGCAAUCUGCCUUUCACAGAGGGAUAGCCCAGAGAAAUUUGGAUUAAUACCUCAUAGUAUAGCGACAUCGCAUGAUGAUGCUAUUAAAGUCACAACGGUGAAAGAUGAGCAUGCGUCCCAUUAGCUAGUUGGUAAGGUAACGGCUUACCAAGGCAACGAUGGGUAGGGGUCCUGAGAGGGAGAUCCCCCACACUGGUACUGAGACACGGACCAGACUCCUACGGGAGGCAGCAGUGAGGAAUAUUGGUCAAUGGGCGCAAGCCUGAACCAGCCAUGCCGCGUGCAGGAUGACGGUCCUAUGGAUUGUAAACUGCUUUUGCACAGGAAGAAACACUGAUUCGUGAAUCAGCUUGACGGUACUGUGAGAAUAAGGAUCGGCUAACUCCGUGCCAGCAGCCGCGGUAAUACGGAGGAUCCAAGCGUUAUCCGGAAUCAUUGGGUUUAAAGGGUCCGUAGGCGGUCUGGUAAGUCAGUGGUGAAAGCCCAUCGCUCAACGGUGGAACGGCCAUUGAUACUGCUGGACUUGAAUUAUUAGGAAGUAACUAGAAUAUGUAGUGUAGCGGUGAAAUGCUUAGAGAUUACAUGGAAUACCAAUUGCGAAGGCAGGUUACUACCAGUGGAUUGACGCUGAUGGACGAAAGCGUGGGUAGCGAACAGGAUUAGAUACCCUGGUAGUCCACGCCGUAAACGAUGGAUACUAGCUGUUGGAAGCAAUUUCAGUGGCUAAGCGAAAGUGAUAAGUAUCCCACCU